Molecule: ribosomal RNA, 478 nt
Filed under: uncultured bacterium
Lineage: Bacteria
Description: partial 16S ribosomal RNA
Rfam family: Bacterial small subunit ribosomal RNA
Source: RNAcentral
GAUGAACGCUGGCGGCGUGCCUAACACAUGCAAGUCGAACGGAGUCCAGCCUUAGAGACCUUCGGGUCAAAGAGGGGAAGACUGAGUGGCGGACGGGUGAGUAACACGUGGGCAACCUGGCUCAUAGAGGGGGAUAACAGAGAGAAAUUUCUGCUAAUACCGCAUAAGCACACACUGCCGCAUGGCAGAGUGUGAAAAGAGAAUCGCUAUGAGAUGGACCCGCGUCUGAUUAGCCAGUUGGCAGGGUAAGAGCCUACCAAGGCGACGAUCAGUAGCCGAUUUGAGAGGAUGAACGGCCACAUUGGGACUGAGACACGGCCCAAACUCCUACGGGAAGCAGCAGUGGGGGAUAUUGCACAAUGGGGGGAACCCUGAUGCAGCGACGCCGCGUGAGUGAAGAAGUAUUUCGGUAUGUAAAGCUCUAUCAGCAGGGAAGAUAAUGACAGUACCUGAAUAAGAAGCCCCGGCUAACUACGUG